UUUGUCUUGAAAACAAAUUUGAAGUGUUCAAUUCACUUAAUAACUUAGCAAUAAGAGAUAGAA
This 63-nucleotide transfer RNA is filed under the name Lirabuccinum musculus. RNAcentral describes it as "tRNA-Ser". Lineage: Eukaryota; Metazoa; Mollusca; Gastropoda; Neogastropoda; Buccinidae. The record is from RNAcentral.